GUGGCACUGUGUUGGGCACUGAGGAAACAAUGGGAACAUCCUUCUGUAUCAGAAAUUCCCAUGUUUCCAUAUCCAGAUUUCUUCACCAAGGCAGAUAAAGAGUUGGCAAAAAUCAUUGACCAUCACUGGCAGGAAGAGCUAAAGAUCCGAGAAAAAGAAGAUGCAAUAUGCAAGGCCCAAGAACUUAAAGAUAAAAAGUUAGCAGAGAAAAAUCACUUUCAAGAAGUUAUGAAGAAAAGAGAAGAGAAACUACAUAAGCAAACCAAGCCCUAUGAACUUCCUUAUAGGAAGGAAGUAAUUUAAUUAGAAAAGAAAAUGUCACCUCCCAAAAUUGAGGACUACAUGGCAGAAAUACAUAGGAUGAAAAAUACCAAGAUAGCUACAUAGUAAGAGAACUUUCUUGUCAUUAAAUGGAGGUAUUGUUUAGAAAGAAUUUGUUUUCCUGAUACAAGCUGUUUGUUUAAUAGUUAUUUCUUAGUUCUAAAUUAAUGACCAACUUUUAAUCACACUUGAAUGAAGUGAUUUCACUAGUCAAAAAUUUCCAAGACUACAUCUAGUAUUUUUCUCAAUUGACCUUUAUCUCAUGAUUGUACAGCAUACUUGAUAACUGAUUCUCAGAACAUUGAUAUUCAUCAAACAAACAGUUUGAUGGAAAUUCAUUACAAAUUAAUUAAUGGGUCACCAGAUAAGAAUUAUUUCUUGAAAACAGAAUGAACAUAAACUAACAAUCCUGUAAUUACUAUUAUUCAAAUAAAAACAGUAUGGCAUCUUAUUUGAUUGGCAUUUUAUAGUCAAUUUAUACCAAACCAAACAAACCCUAUUUCAGAGAUUUGAAUCUGGGAGGGCUGGUCAUCUUAGAUUGAUUGGCUUGAUCUUUAACAGAUGCCAGAGGGGAUUCCUGAGAGAUGGUGGUUUUACUCUGUUCUGUGAGUUUAUGAGAAUGAAUUCUUAUGAACCUGGAAGGUCCAGGAGCAACUGCUGAA
This 983-nucleotide long non-coding RNA is filed under the name Homo sapiens (human). RNAcentral describes it as "HSALNT0328817". The record is from RNAcentral. Lineage: Eukaryota; Metazoa; Chordata; Mammalia; Primates; Hominidae.